GAUGAACGCUGGCGGCGUGCCUAAUACAUGCAAGUCGAGCGAACAGAUGAGAAGCUUGCUUCUCUGAUGUUAGCGGCGGACGGGUGAGUAACACGUGGGUAACCUACCUAUAAGACUGGGAUAACUCCGGGAAACCGGGGCUAAUACCGGAUAAUAUUUUGAACCGCAUGGUUCAAUAGUGAAAGACGGUUUCGGCUGUCACUUAUAGAUGGACCCGCGCCGUAUUAGCUAGUUGGUAAGGUAACGGCUUACCAAGGCGACGAUACGUAGCCGACCUGAGAGGGUGAUCGGCCACACUGGAACUGAGACACGGUCCAGACUCCUACGGGAGGCAGCAGUAGGGAGUCUUCCGCAAUGGGCGAAAGCCUGACGGAGCAACGCCGCGUGAGUGAAGAAGGUCUUCGGAUUGUAAAGCUCUGUUUAAAGGGACGAAUGGCAGAUUUGUGAAUAAUGAAUUUGCAUGACGGUACCUUUGGAGGAAGCCACGGCUAACUACGUGCCAGCAGCCGCAGUAA
RNAcentral lists this ribosomal RNA (515 nucleotides) under uncultured bacterium. Its description in RNAcentral is "partial 16S ribosomal RNA". It matches the Rfam family "Bacterial small subunit ribosomal RNA", at positions 28 to 523 of the family's 1533-position model. The record is from RNAcentral.